CCUUACUAUACUAUGUCGAAAAAAAAUGCCUUUUUUCCAAGAUGUUGUAAAAACCUGCCAUAUGAUGAAAUAAUGCAAAGGAGGGCGUGAAAAACACUCCAGAAACGUUUUCUUUGAAAAAAAAAUCAUCAUGAAUUUUGGCGCAAAAAAAACGCCUUACUAUACUAUCUCGAAAAAAAUGCGAUUUUUCAAAUAUAAUCAAAAAACGUGCCAUAUGAUGAAAUAAUGCAAAGGAGGGCCUGAGAAACACUCCAGAAAGGUUUUCUUUGAAAAAAAAAUCAUCAUGAAUUUUGGCGCCAAAAAAACGCCUUACUAUACUAUGUCGAAAAAACAUGCGAUUUUUCGAACAUGCUGUAAAAACCUGUCAUAUGAUGAAAUAAUGUAAAGGAGGGCGUGAAAAACACUCCAGAAAGGUUUUGUUCGAAAAAAAUCAUCAUGAAUUUUGGCGCAAAAAAACGCCUUACUAUACUAUGUCGAAAAAAAAAUGCGAUUUUUCGAACGUGUUGUAAAAACCUGUCACAUGAUAAAAUAAUGCAAAGGAGGGCGUGGAAAACACUCCAGAAAGGUUUUCUUUGAAAAAAAAAUCAUCAUGAAUGAACGUUAGUGUCUGGCACAGUGAAAUCUAUCUGCCAAAGGGAGGUAGUACAAGCCUGGUGACAUUUUGUUUUGUACCAGGCUCCUUUCUCAAGAUUAUUCAUGGGGAUUUAAAAACAAAACAAACAAAAAAGCUGAAACUGGUUAGCUCUUUUGCUAACAGGCAGCAAGUUCACACAGUCUAUGUUAAAAAAAAAUAAAAAUUUACCACAGUUGAACAUAACUCACAUUGAAUUUGCCAUUUUUUGUGACUUUACCUCACCAACACCUGUGAACCCACUGAUCAUGGUGAUUCCAUUGAAUUAAACUGAUUUCAUUUCCACAUUUUGCCAUUUUAAAUGCUAGCGUCAUG
Molecule: long non-coding RNA, 946 nt
Organism: Amphiprion ocellaris (clown anemonefish)
Lineage: Eukaryota; Metazoa; Chordata; Actinopteri; Pomacentridae
Source: Ensembl